GAUACAGACCAAUACAAAAACCUCCUUGUUCCGUUCCAUUCUGUGUCACAGCUGUAUCCAACUUGAAUACCAGCAGAAAAGCCUUCAGUGAGAUACUGCAGCCUGAUUAACUCUUCCACAGCUCCCCUGUGUUGUGGGGAAACACCCUUAGAAGUCAGUGUCACGGAAGACGGUGGCCAGGGGAAGCCUUGGUAGCCCAGUGGGUCAGGGCUGAGGGACAAGAGCAGAUUGCUCUAGAGCCAGCACAGAAGCAUGGAUCCCCCCACACACUGAUGACCCCGACCAACUAGCAUCUCCCAAGAUGCCAGUGGGCAGACUGUGAUGACUCAAACUCCAGAAUCACUGGCAGUAUCUCCAGGAGACAGAGUCACCGUCAACUGCAAAGCCAGUUCCAGUGGUAGUAACAAGAUGUCCUGGUACCAACAGAAGUCAGGACAAGCUCCUAAGCUCCUUAUAUAUAGAGCUUCAACCCGUCUCUCUGGGGUCCCAGACCGGUUCAGUGGCAGUGGGUCUGGCACUGACUUCACUUUUACAAUAAGCCGGGUAGAAGCUGAUGAUGCUGGAGAUUAUUAUUGUCAACAAGGCUCCAGUGGGCAGAUUGUGCUGACUCAGACUCCAGAAUCCCUGGCAGUGUUGCCAGGAGACAGAGUUGCUAUCAAUUGCAAAGCCAGUGCAGGCAUUACAAGUGCUUAUACCUACUUAGCCUGGUACCAACAGAAACCAGGACAAGCUCCGAAGCUCCUUAUCUACCAUGCUUCCACACAUGCCACUGGGAUCCCAGACCGGUUCACAGGCAGUGGAUCUGGAACCGAUUUCACUCUCACAAUCAACAACGUUCAAGCUGAAGAUGCUGGAGAUUAUUACUGUCAACAAAGCUAUGACUUAUCUCUCACAGUGAUACAGACCAAUACAAAAACCUCCCUGUUCUCUCUUGGGGAUAUAUAUUGGAAGAAAAUCCAUUGAUUUUGGCUCCUUUGAGGAACAUAUUGAACUCUACAUUCCAUGAAAAACUCUCCAGCUGGGAGCCCACUGGUUAGCUUCUGUGCACUCUAUGAAGUUGUAAACACAUGUACAUGGAAGGAAAUGUGCCAGCCAGCAGCCCUUGUGACUAAUCAGUUAGUUCCCCAGCAUCUUAGCAGAUCUGUGCAGCAAAGGCCUACGGAACAGUCAUGUGCCAUGAAGUCACAGUACUUAGCGCUUCUCUACUGGUCUUCGUGCACUGAUCUCAAAGUGUUCUACAGGGAGACUUACUAUAAGUACAGAUGGGGAAACUGACGCAGAGGUGAAGUAACUUGACCAAGCUCCCCCAAAGACUUCACAGACCUAAUGUAACCUGAAUACCAAGGGGUAGACUGUGAUGACUCAGGCUCCAGAAUCUCUGUCAGUGUCUUCAGGAGACAGAGUCACUAUCAACUGCAAAGCCAGUUGAUAGCAACUAGCAACACUAUAGGCGGC
Non-coding RNA from Mauremys reevesii (Reeves's turtle), 1455 nucleotides. The record is from the annotation of a RefSeq genome assembly. Lineage: Eukaryota; Metazoa; Chordata; Testudines; Geoemydidae.